Molecule: ribosomal RNA, 463 nt
Filed under: Capnocytophaga granulosa
Lineage: Bacteria; Pseudomonadati; Bacteroidota; Flavobacteriia; Flavobacteriales; Flavobacteriaceae
Description: bacterial SSU rRNA
Rfam family: Bacterial small subunit ribosomal RNA
Source: RNAcentral
GAUGAACGCUAGCGGCAGGCCUAACACAUGCAAGUCGAGGGAGAAGCCCUUCGGGGCAGAAACCGGCGCACGGGUGCGUAACGCGUAUGCAACCUACCUUUCACAGGGGGAUAGCCCGAAGAAAUUUGGAUUAAUACCCCAUAAUAUUAUUGGAUGGCAUCAUUUGAUAAUUAAAAUUACGAUGGUGAAAGAUGGGCAUGCGUCCUAUUAGCUAGUUGGAGUGGUAACGGCACCCCAAGGCUACGAUAGGUAGGGGUCCUGAGAGGGAGAUCCCCCACACUGGUACUGAGACAGGGACCAGACUCCUACGGGAGGCAGCAGUGAGGAAUAUUGGUCAAUGGUCGGAAGACUGAACCAGCCAUGCCGCGUGCAGGAGGAAUGCCUUAUGGGUUGUAAACUGCUUUUAUAUGGGAAGAAUAAGGAGUACGUGUACUUUGAUGACGGUACCAUAUGAAUAAGCAUC